Molecule: ribosomal RNA, 687 nt
Filed under: uncultured Planctomycetia bacterium
Lineage: Bacteria; Pseudomonadati; Planctomycetota; Planctomycetia
Description: bacterial SSU rRNA
Rfam family: Bacterial small subunit ribosomal RNA
Source: RNAcentral
AGUCGUACGGGCCCGACCGCAAGGCCGGGCCAGUGGCGCAAGGGUGAGUAAGGCGACGGUAACCAACCCCGGGGCUGGCCAUAGCCGCGGGAAACCGCGGGUAAUUGCCAGCGACGUCGUCGGCCGGCAUCGGCCGACGACCAAAGGUGUGAUCCCGCCCCGGGACGGGCCGUCGUGGUAUUAGCUGGUUGGUGGGGUGACGGCCCACCAAGGCCAUGAUGCCUACCGGGCGUGCGAGCGUGGCCCGGCACACUGGGACUGAGACACUGCCCAGACUCCUACGGGAGGCUGCAGUCGAGAAUCUUCGGCAAUGGGCGCAAGCCUGACCGAGCGACGCCGCGUGGAGGACGAAGGCCUUCGGGUUGUAAACUCCUGUCGAGGGGGACCAAGGGGGUGUGCAGAGCACCCCUUGAGAGAUCCCUGGAGGAAGCACGGGCUAAGUUCGUGCCAGCAGCCGCGGUAAGACGAACCGUGCGAACGUUAUUCGGAAUCAUUGGGCUUAAAGGGCGCGUAGGCGGGUCGGCGCGUCCGUGCUGAAAGCCCCCGGCUCAACCGGGGAACGGGCAGGCGCACUGCCGACCUGGAGGCGAGGAAGGGGACCUGGAAGCUCCAGUGGAGCGGUCAAAUGCGUUGAGAUCAGACGGAACGCCGAGGGCGAAAGCAAGGUCCUGGACUCGUACUGACGCU